This 245-nucleotide long non-coding RNA is filed under the name Olea europaea subsp. europaea. Lineage: Eukaryota; Viridiplantae; Streptophyta; Magnoliopsida; Lamiales; Oleaceae. The record is from RNAcentral.
CCGAUGCUUUUGACUUGCAAUUCAAUGACUUCAUCCAUCCAGUCGCCAUUAACAAUCGUCCCUUCACCCUUCUUCUUCUCUCUCUCCAGUUUCAAUCUGUAUCUAUCGUAUGCAAGUAUACCCCUCUCUCUCUCUCUCUCUCUCUCUCUCUCUACCCUUAAUAUGAGGUUUUAACGAGGUGGAAAGGAAUGAAAUGGAGAGGACAUGGCGCGAUAGAGAGUGAGAACUAUAUUAUUUUAAAUGAC